Molecule: ribosomal RNA, 459 nt
Filed under: uncultured bacterium
Lineage: Bacteria
Description: partial 16S ribosomal RNA
Rfam family: Bacterial small subunit ribosomal RNA
Source: RNAcentral
CCUACGGGUGGCAGCAGUGAGGAAUAUUGGUCAAUGGGCGGGAGCCUGAACCAGCCAAGUAGCGUGAGGGAAGAAGGUCCUACGGAUUGUAAACCUCUUUUACCAGGGGAUAAAGGCAGCCACGUGUGGCCGUUUGAGGGUACCUUGAGAAAAAGCAUCGGCUAACUCCGUUCCAGCAGCCGCGGUAAUACGGAGGAUGCGAGCGUACUCCGGUUUUAUUGGGUUUAAGGGGUGCGCAGUCGGCUUGUCAAGUCGGCGGGAAAAUUUGGGGGCUCAACCCAGGCCGGCCGUUGAAACUGGCGGGCUUGAGUUGGAGAGAAGUAUGCGGAAUGCGUGGUGUAGCGGUGAAAUGCAUAGAUAUCACGAAGAACCCCGAUUGCGAAGGCAGCAUACUGGCUCCACACUGACGCUGAGGCACGAAAGCGUGGGUAUCGAACAGGAUUUGAUACCCGAGUAGUC